UACGUAGGGUGCAAGCGUUAAUCGGAAUUACUGGGCGUAAAGCGUGCGCAGGCGGUUUUGUAAGUCAGAUGUGAAAUCCCCGGGCUCAACCUGGGAACUGCGUUUGAAACUACAAGGCUGGAGUAUGGUAGAGGGGGGUAGAAUUCCACGUGUAGCAGUGAAAUGCGUAGAGAUGUGGAGGAAUACCAAUGGCGAAGGCAGCCCCCUGGACUAAUACUGACGCUCAUGCACGAAAGCGUGGGGAGCAAACAGG
This 253-nucleotide unclassified non-coding RNA is filed under the name uncultured Gammaproteobacteria bacterium. RNAcentral describes it as "contains 16S-23S intergenic spacer region". It matches the Rfam family "Bacterial small subunit ribosomal RNA", at positions 524 to 776 of the family's 1533-position model. The record is from RNAcentral. Lineage: Bacteria; Pseudomonadati; Pseudomonadota; Gammaproteobacteria.